AGGGUAUUCGUGCGUGGAUGGCAGCUCAGGAUCAGCCUCAUGAAAAUAUUAUAUUCCCUUAGUAGGUUCUACCACGUGGAAACGCUCUUUAAUGGAACUUUCGUUUUAGCUGGUCGUGACCAAGAAACCACCGGCUUUACUUGGUGGGCUGGGAAUGCCAGACUUAUCAAUUUUUCCGGUAAACUACUUGGAGCUCACGUAGCCCAUGCCGGAUUAAUCGUAUUCUGGGCCGGAGCAAUGAACCUAUUUGAAGUGGCCCAUUUCGUACCAGAAAAGUCCAUGUAUGAA
Molecule: ribosomal RNA, 288 nt
Filed under: Triticum aestivum (bread wheat)
Lineage: Eukaryota; Viridiplantae; Streptophyta; Magnoliopsida; Poales; Poaceae
Description: partial small subunit ribosomal RNA
Source: RNAcentral